GACCGAUAGCGCACAAGUAGAGUGAUCGAAAGAUGAAAAGCACUUUGGAAAGAGAGUUAAACAGUACGUGAAAUUGUUGAAAGGGAAGCGCUUGCGACCAGACUUGCCCGCGGGUGAUCAACCGUCCUUCGGGGCGGUGCACUGAUCCGCGGCGCAGGCCAGCAUCGGUUUCGGCGGCCAGAGAAACGGGGCGGGAACGUGGCUCCCUUCGGGGAGUGUUACAGCCCGCUCCAGCAUGUGGCCCGCCGGGACCGAGGACCGCGCUCCGGCUAGGAUGCUGGCGUAAUGGUCGUCAGCGACCCGUCUUGAAACACGGACCAAGGAGUUGUCAAGCGACGCGAGUCUUUGGGUGUCAAMCCCACGGKMGCAAUGAAAGUGAACGGAGGUGGGAACCCCCUCGGGGGCGCACCAUCGACCGAUCCUGAUGUCUUCGGAUGGAUUUGAGUACGAGCGUCGGUUGACUGACCCGAAAGAUGGUGAACUAUGCGUGAAUAGGGUGAAGCCAGAGGAAACUCUGGUGGAGGCUCGCAGCGGUUCUGACGUGCAAAUCGAUCGUCGAAUUUGCGUAUAGGGGCGAAAGACUAAUCGAACCAUCUAGUAGCUGGUUCCAGCCGAAGUUUCCCUCAGAUAGCAGUAACGUUUUCAGUUUAUGAGUAAGCGAAUGAUUAGAGGCCUUGGGGAUGAACAUCUWACUAUCUCAACUUAAUAUGUAGAGUCUGUGCUAUGACGUGACAUUGAUGCACGUACUAGUGGCAUUUUGUAGCAGACUG
RNAcentral lists this ribosomal RNA (770 nucleotides) under Placopsis cribellans. RNAcentral describes it as "eukaryotic LSU rRNA". It matches the Rfam family "Eukaryotic large subunit ribosomal RNA", at positions 332 to 1152 of the family's 3401-position model. Lineage: Eukaryota; Fungi; Ascomycota; Lecanoromycetes; Trapeliales; Trapeliaceae. The record is from RNAcentral.